This 123-nucleotide ribosomal RNA is filed under the name Triticum aestivum (bread wheat). Its description in RNAcentral is "partial small subunit ribosomal RNA". The record is from RNAcentral. Lineage: Eukaryota; Viridiplantae; Streptophyta; Magnoliopsida; Poales; Poaceae.
AUGAUCCUCCUCAUCAAAGAUGAUUGGCGUGCGGGACCAUUUGAGCGGUUUCUCGGCCUCUGGUGCUGGCUCCACGGCAUUGAUCUCUCGUACACAUCGCUUGAGCUGGUGACGGGGGUGUGA